Molecule: ribosomal RNA, 482 nt
Filed under: uncultured bacterium
Lineage: Bacteria
Description: partial 16S ribosomal RNA
Rfam family: Bacterial small subunit ribosomal RNA
Source: RNAcentral
AUUGAACGCUGGCGGCAUGCCUUACACAUGCAAGUCGAACGGUAACAGGUCUUCGGAUGCUGACGAGUGGCGAACGGGUGAGUAAUACAUCGGAACGUGCCCGAUCGUGGGGGAUAACGAAGCGAAAGCUUUGCUAAUACCGCAUACGAUCUACGGAUGAAAGCAGGGGACCGCAAGGCCUUGCGCGAACGGAGCGGCCGAUGGCAGAUUAGGUAGUUGGUGGGAUAAAAGCUUACCAAGCCGACGAUCUGUAGCUGGUCUGAGAGGACGACCAGCCACACUGGGACUGAGACACGGCCCAGACUCCUACGGGAGGCAGCAGUGGGGAAUUUUGGACAAUGGGCGAAAGCCUGAUCCAGUCGUGCCGCGUGCAGGAUGAAGGCCUUCGGGUUGUAAACUGCUUUUGUACGGAACGAAAAGACUCUGGUUAAUACCUGGGGUCCAUGACGGUACCGUAAGAAUAAGCACCGGCUAACUACGUG